CUCUUCUGGGGAUCCCUUCUCUGGAGUUUUGUAGUGAGCCCAGAGUGUGGUUUCAAUCUCUUCAAACCCCAAACCAAUCUUGAAAUGAAAGCAAGAAAUACCAACUCUCCCACCACUCAAAUACUAUUUUAUACCAGAAGAGAUUUGCUCCAAGGGAAGCUAAGCCAGCUGGGACAAGGCCUCUUUCUCAUGCUCUCAGUGCUGGGAAAGCUUUCACUGGAAACAGCGCUUCUGACAGCCAGUAUUGAACAAAGUUAACAAGAUCUCUUUUUUUUUUUUUUUACUUAAAAGAAAAACAAAACAUAUGGCAAAGCAAAGAAACUGUAACACUGUAGGGGUUGUUUACUCUCCAGACCUGCUGGAGGUGUUGCAGGCAAGAGGAUCUAGGAUAUAGAUUUGAUGCUAAGAUUUUCUGGUUUUGUUUAUUUGUUUGGGGUUAUUUUUAAGCUGAAAAAUCUAUUUACAUCCCUUAGGUAUUCAGAGUAAACCUUUCUUCCUGAAUUGUUUUACAGAAUGAGAGAAACUCAGUGCUAUAACACAGUAUGGGGAUUACAGAAGUCAAAUAAAUUUCAGUCUCCAGACAUAAAUUGCAUUAACUUUCCAUGCAUUCAUUUUUCUCUUCUUUUUAUUAAAUAUAGCACUGUAAUUCAUUUAAUAAUCCCAGUUGUUGUGUAAGGAAAGCAUGUGAGGCACUAGUGACUAGUGCAAGCGGUCUCAGUGGUGCUGAGCUGCUA
Molecule: non-coding RNA, 734 nt
Organism: Meleagris gallopavo (turkey)
Lineage: Eukaryota; Metazoa; Chordata; Aves; Galliformes; Phasianidae
Source: RefSeq, a predicted model, not a curated record